RNAcentral lists this ribosomal RNA (207 nucleotides) under uncultured bacterium. RNAcentral's name for it is "partial 16S ribosomal RNA". It matches the Rfam family "Bacterial small subunit ribosomal RNA", at positions 568 to 774 of the family's 1533-position model. The record is from RNAcentral.
CGCGUAGGCGGACAGUUUAGUCAGAGGUGAAAGCCCAGGGCUCAACCUUGGAAUAGCCUUUGAUACUGGCUGUCUUGAGUGCGGGAGAGGUGUGUGGAACUCCGAGUGUAGAGGUGAAAUUCGUAGAUAUUCGGAAGAACACCAGUGGCGAAGGCGACACACUGGCCCGUUACUGACGCUGAGGCGCGAAAGCGUGGGGAGCAAACA